CCCAAACUGUUAAUCUUCAAUACCCCUUUGUACUUACGAUCUUGUAUCCACUGACUGUCCUGUUAGAUUAACCCAAUAAAUUUCAUUCACUCCGCAUACUCAAUCCUAUAGACACCCCUUUAAUCCUUCAAUCACUGACGUAACUCGAUUUUACAAAACAGUCAAGAGUAUUCAAACCCACUUCAUUUAAAAAUCCCGAUUCACUAUUACAACACUGACUUCAGCAGCGAUUGCCUCAGUCUUC
This 244-nucleotide long non-coding RNA is filed under the name Physcomitrium patens. RNAcentral's name for it is "long non-coding RNA (PPAT_LNC013835)". The record is from RNAcentral. Lineage: Eukaryota; Viridiplantae; Streptophyta; Bryopsida; Funariales; Funariaceae.